This 73-nucleotide transfer RNA is filed under the name Prevotella heparinolytica. RNAcentral's name for it is "Bacteroides heparinolyticus tRNA-Met". It matches the Rfam family "tRNA". Rfam says of the family: Transfer RNA (tRNA) molecules are approximately 80 nucleotides in length. The record is from RNAcentral. Lineage: Bacteria; Pseudomonadati; Bacteroidota; Bacteroidia; Bacteroidales; Prevotellaceae.
AGCAGGAUGGAGUAGUGGGAAGCUCGCAUGGUUCAUGGCCAUGAGGUCGCAAGUUCGAGUCUUGCUCCUGCCA